GAUGAACGCUGGCGGCGUGCUUAACACAUGCAAGUCAAACGAAGCACUUUAUUUGAUUUCCUUCGGGACUGAUUAUUUUGUGACUGAGUGGCGGACGGGUGAGUAACGCGUGGGUAACCUGCCUUGUACAGGGGGAUAACAGUUGGAAACGGCUGCUAAUACCGCAUAAGCGCACAGCAUCGCAUGAUGCAGUGUGAAAAACUCCAGUGGUAUAAGAUGGACCCGCGUUGGAUUAGCUAGUUGGUGAGGUAACGGCCCACCAAGGCGACGAUCCAUAGCCGACCUGAGAGGGUGACCGGCCACAUUGGGACUGAGACACGGCCCAAACUCCUACGGGAGGCAGCAGUGGGGAAUAUUGCACAAUGGGCGAAAGCCUGAUGCAGCGACGCCGCGUGAGCGAAGAAGUAUUUCGGUAUGUAAAGCUCUAUCAGCAGGGAAGAUAAUGACGGUACCUGACUAAGAAGCACCGGCUAAAUACGUGCCAGCAGCCGCGGUAAUACGUAUGGUGCAAGCGUUAUCCGGAUUUACUGGGUGUAAAGGGAGCGCAGGCGGUGCGGCAAGUCUGAUGUGAAAGCCCGGGGCUCAACCCCGGUACUGCAUUGGAAACUGUCGUACUAGAGUGUCGGAGGGGUAAGCGGAAUUCCUAGUGUAGCGGUGAAAUGCGUAGAUAUUAGGAGGAGCACCAGUGGCGAAGGCGGCUUACUGGACGAUAACUGACGCUGAGGCUCGAAAGCGUGGGGAGCAAACA
This 748-nucleotide ribosomal RNA is filed under the name uncultured bacterium. RNAcentral's name for it is "bacterial SSU rRNA". It matches the Rfam family "Bacterial small subunit ribosomal RNA", at positions 28 to 774 of the family's 1533-position model. The record is from RNAcentral.